This 253-nucleotide ribosomal RNA is filed under the name uncultured bacterium. Its description in RNAcentral is "partial 16S ribosomal RNA". It matches the Rfam family "Bacterial small subunit ribosomal RNA", at positions 524 to 776 of the family's 1533-position model. The record is from RNAcentral.
UACGCAGGGUGCAAGCGUUGUCCGGAAUUAUUGGGCGUAAAGAGCUCGUAGGCGGUUUGUCACGUCGGAUGUGAAAACCCGAGGCUUAACCUCGGGCCUGCAUUCGAUACGGGCUGACUAGAGUUCGGUAGGGGAGACUGGAAUUCCUGGUGUAGCGGUGAAAUGCGCAGAUAUCAGGAGGAACACCGGUGGCGAAGGCGGGUCUCUGGGCCGAUACUGACGCUGAGGAGCGAAAGCGUGGGGAGCGAACAGG